ACAAACGCAGCUAGAGCAAAUAUGCAAUUAACUAUCAAAAUAAAACGUUGGUCUGGGAGAUUUGGACAAUUUCCACACGACUACAUAGCAAUAACUUUGCCCCUCUCCAUUUCCAAACUCCCUCUGGAGGCUCCAAGUAAACAUCAGAUUAUACACACACAUUUUUUACGGUUGUCAGAGGUAUGUACAAAGGAGGAAAAAUAUUAAGGAGGAAUUUCAAAAACUUUUAAGACUUUUCAAGGUUCGGAAGAGAAGAAUAGCAAAACGUUGGUGCUCCGUGCAUGAAUGCAACGCCUCAACAGGUUAAUUUUAUUAAUUCAGACCAUGUAGGUACCAUUCACACACUUCCUCAAGGAAACUGCAGCUGAAUUGAAAGCAAGCUGUUCAUGGAAAAUGCACUCAACAGUUGAUGUUUCCCUGCUCCCAAGGCUGCUAUGGUAUCCUG
This 445-nucleotide long non-coding RNA is filed under the name Gallus gallus (chicken). Lineage: Eukaryota; Metazoa; Chordata; Aves; Galliformes; Phasianidae. The record is from RNAcentral.